Molecule: ribosomal RNA, 400 nt
Filed under: uncultured bacterium
Lineage: Bacteria
Description: bacterial SSU rRNA
Rfam family: Bacterial small subunit ribosomal RNA
Source: RNAcentral
UGGGGAAUAUUGGACAAUGGGCGAAAGCCUGAUCCAGCCAUGCCGCGUGUGUGAAGAAGGUCUUCGGAUUGUAAAGCACUUUAAGUUGGGAGGAAGGGCUGUAGGCUAAUAUCCUGCAGCUUUGACGUUACCGACAGAAUAAGCACCGGCUAACUCUGUGCCAGCAGCCGCGGUAAUACAGAGGGUGCAAGCGUUAAUCGGAAUUACUGGGCGUAAAGCGCGCGUAGGUGGCUAAGUAAGAUGGGUGUGAAAUCCCCGGGCUCAACCUGGGAACUGCUUUCAUAACUGCUUGGCUAGAGUACGGUAGAGGGUAGUGGAAUUUCCUGUGUAGCGGUGAAAUGCGUAGAUAUAGGAAGGAACACCAGUGGCGAAGGCGACUACCUGGACUGAUACUGACACU